RNAcentral lists this ribosomal RNA (247 nucleotides) under uncultured bacterium. RNAcentral describes it as "partial 16S ribosomal RNA". It matches the Rfam family "Bacterial small subunit ribosomal RNA", at positions 796 to 1041 of the family's 1533-position model. The record is from RNAcentral.
CUAGCUGUAAACGUUGGGUACUAGGUAAUGGGGGGUAUAAACCCUCAGUGCCGAAGCAAACGCGUUAAGUACCCCGCCUGGGGACUACGACCGCAAGGUUAAAACUCAAAGGAAUUGACGGGAGCCCGCACAAGCAGCGGAGCGUGUGGUUUAAUUCGAUGCAACGCGAAGAACCUUACCUGGGUUUGACAUGUAUGUGGUAGGAAAGCGAAAGCGGACCGACCCGUGAGGGAGCAUACACAGGUGC